RNAcentral lists this ribosomal RNA (406 nucleotides) under uncultured cyanobacterium. RNAcentral's name for it is "bacterial SSU rRNA". It matches the Rfam family "Bacterial small subunit ribosomal RNA", at positions 355 to 776 of the family's 1533-position model. Lineage: Bacteria; Bacillati; Cyanobacteriota. The record is from RNAcentral.
UGAGGAAUAUUCCGCAAUGGGCGAAAGCCUGACGGAGCAACGCCGCGUGAGGGAUGAAGGCCUACGGGUUGUAAACCUCUUUUUCCAAGGAGGAAGAUCUGACGUUACUUGGAGAAUAAGCAUCGGCUAACCCUGUGCCAGCAGCCGCGGUAAUACAGGGGAUGCAAGUGUUAUCCGGAUUCAUUGGGCGUAAAGCGUCUACAGGUUGAUAUUUAAGUCUUUUGUUAAAUCUUGGAGCUUAACUCCAAACAUGCAAAGGAAACUAUUUAUCUAGAGUAUGGUAGAGGUAAAGGGAAUUUCUAGUGGAGCGGUGAAAUGCGCAGAGAUUAGAAGGAACACCAAAAGCGAAGGCACUUUACUGGGCCAUUACUGACACUCAUUGACGAAAGCUAGGGGAGCAAACGAG